CCUACGGGAGGCAGCAGUGGGGAAUAUUGCACAAUGGGGGAAACCCUGAUGCAGCGACGCCGCGGGAGUGAAGAAGGAUUUCGGUAUGGAAAGCUCUAUCAGCAGGGAAGAGAAUGACGGUACCUGAGUAAGUAGCCCCGGCUAACUACGUGCCAGCAGCCGCGGUAAUACGGAAGGGGCAAGCGUUAUCCGGAUUUACUGGGUUUAAGGGGAGCGUAGACGGCGAAGAAAGUCUGAAGUGAAAGCCCGCGGCUCAACCGCGGAACUGCUUUGGAAACUUUUUUGCUGGAGUACCGGAGAGGUAAGCGGAAUUCCUAGUGUAGCGGUGAAAUGCGUAGAUAUUAGGAGGAACACCAGUGGCGAAGGCGGCUUACUGGACGGUAACUGACGUUGAGGCUCGAAAGCGUGGGGAGCAAACAGGAUUAGAUACCCCAGUAGUC
This 440-nucleotide ribosomal RNA is filed under the name uncultured bacterium. Its description in RNAcentral is "partial 16S ribosomal RNA". It matches the Rfam family "Bacterial small subunit ribosomal RNA", at positions 338 to 795 of the family's 1533-position model. The record is from RNAcentral.